UACGGGGGGAGCAAGCGUUGUUCGGAUUUACUGGGCGUAAAGGGCGCGUAGGCGGCCACUGCAAGUCGACUGUGAAAUCUCCGGGCUUAACCCGGAAAGGUCAGCCGAUACUGCGGGGCUAGAGUGCAGAAGGGGCAACUGGAAUUCUCGGUGUAGCGGUGAAAUGCGUAGAUAUCGAGAGGAACACCUGCGGCGAAGGCGGGUUGCUGGGCUGACACUGACGCUGAUGCGCGAAAGCUAGGGGAGCGAACGGG
This 254-nucleotide ribosomal RNA is filed under the name uncultured bacterium. RNAcentral's name for it is "partial 16S ribosomal RNA". It matches the Rfam family "Bacterial small subunit ribosomal RNA", at positions 524 to 776 of the family's 1533-position model. The record is from RNAcentral.